RNAcentral lists this ribosomal RNA (254 nucleotides) under uncultured bacterium. RNAcentral describes it as "partial 16S ribosomal RNA". It matches the Rfam family "Bacterial small subunit ribosomal RNA", at positions 524 to 776 of the family's 1533-position model. The record is from RNAcentral.
UACGGGGGGAGCAAGCGUUGUUCGGAUUUACUGGGCGUAAAGGGCUCGUAGGCGGCCUCCGCAAGUCAGUUGUGAAAUCUCCGAGCUUAACUCGGAAAGGUCAACUGAUACUGCGGGGCUAGAGUGCGGAAGGGGCAACUGGAAUUCUUGGUGUAGCGGUGAAAUGCGUAGAUAUCAAGAGGAACACCUGCGGCGAAGGCGGGUUGCUGGGCCGACACUGACGCUGAGGCGCGAAAGCUAGGGGAGCGAACGGG